AGAUAUAGCUCAGUGGUAGAGUGCUUGCCUAGCAUGUGACAAGUCCUGGGUUUGAUUCCCAGUACUG
Molecule: transfer RNA, 67 nt
Filed under: Marmota monax (woodchuck)
Lineage: Eukaryota; Metazoa; Chordata; Mammalia; Rodentia; Sciuridae
Description: tRNA.Ala
Rfam family: tRNA
About the family: Transfer RNA (tRNA) molecules are approximately 80 nucleotides in length. Their secondary structure includes four short double-helical elements and three loops (D, anti-codon, and T loops). Further hydrogen bonds mediate the characteristic L-shaped molecular structure. tRNAs have two regions of fundamental functional importance: the anti-codon, which is responsible for specific mRNA codon recognition, and the 3' end, to which the tRNAs corresponding amino acid is attached (by aminoacyl-tRNA synthetases). tRNAs cope with the degeneracy of the genetic code in two manners: having more than one tRNA (with a specific anti-codon) for a particular amino acid; and 'wobble' base-pairing, i.e. permitting non-standard base-pairing at the 3rd anti-codon position.
Source: RNAcentral